RNAcentral lists this ribosomal RNA (819 nucleotides) under uncultured Moraxella sp. RNAcentral describes it as "bacterial SSU rRNA". It matches the Rfam family "Bacterial small subunit ribosomal RNA", at positions 52 to 871 of the family's 1533-position model. The record is from RNAcentral. Lineage: Bacteria; Pseudomonadati; Pseudomonadota; Gammaproteobacteria; Moraxellales; Moraxellaceae.
CACAUGCAAGUCGAACGAAGUUAGGAAGCUUGCUCCUGAUACUUAGUGGCGGACGGGUGAGUAAUGCUUAGGAAUCUGCCUAGUAGUGGGGGAUAACUUGGGGAAACCCAAGCUAAUACCGCAUACGACCUACGGGUGAAAGGGGGCGCAAGCUCUCGCUAUUAGAUGAGCCUAAGUCGGAUUAGCUAGUUGGUGGGGUAAAGGCCUACCAAGGCGACGAUCUGUAGCUGGUCUGAGAGGAUGAUCAGCCACACUGGGACUGAGACACGGCCCAGACUCCUACGGGAGGCAGCAGUGGGGAAUAUUGGACAAUGGGCGAAAGCCUGAUCCAGCCAUGCCGCGUGUGUGAAGAAGGCCUUUUGGUUGUAAAGCACUUUAAGUGGGGAGGAAAAGCUUAUGGUUAAUACCCAUAAGCCCUGACGUUACCCACAGAAUAAGCACCGGCUAACUCUGUGCCAGCAGCCGCGGUAAUACAGAGGGUGCAAGCGUUAAUCGGAAUUACUGGGCGUAAAGCGCGCGUAGGUGGUUAUUUAAGUCAGAUGUGAAAACCCCGGGCUUAACCUGGGAACUGCAUCUGAUACUGGAUAACUAGAGUAGGUGAGAGGGGAGUAGAAUUCCAGGUGUAGCGGUGAAAUGCGUAGAGAUCUGGAGGAAUACCGAUGGCGAAGGCAGCUCCCUGGCAUCAUACUGACACUGAGGUGCGAAAGCGUGGGUAGCAAACAGGAUUAGAUACCCUGGUAGUCCACGCCGUAAACGAUGUCUACCAGUCGUUGGGUCUUUUAAAGACUUAGUGACGCAGUUAACGCAAUAAGUAGACCG